UUUUUAAUAUGAAUACGAAUCAGAUUAUUACGAUACACGUAUUAUAUUAAGGGUUGGAACUCCCUGGGUUACAUUCUCUUGUAUUCUAUUUUAUACAAACCCUACAUAGCGUAAACUUAUGUACAUUUCUACCUACCAAUAAUAUACGUGCAAACAUGUGUCAGUUUAUUAUAAAGUUUUCCGUGUAAAUAUAGUGUUUAAUAUGAAUGCAGAGUU
This is a non-coding RNA of Cinara cedri, 216 nucleotides long. The record is from the annotation of a GenBank genome assembly. NCBI's taxonomy places the organism in Eukaryota, Metazoa, Arthropoda, Insecta, Hemiptera, Aphididae.